RNAcentral lists this ribosomal RNA (969 nucleotides) under Salmonella enterica. Its description in RNAcentral is "partial 23S ribosomal RNA". It matches the Rfam family "Bacterial large subunit ribosomal RNA", at positions 711 to 1594 of the family's 2925-position model. RNAcentral also lists the same sequence under 2 other names. The record is from RNAcentral. Lineage: Bacteria; Pseudomonadati; Pseudomonadota; Gammaproteobacteria; Enterobacterales; Enterobacteriaceae.
AGACCCGAAACCCGGUGAUCUAGCCAUGGGCAGGUUGAAGGUUGGGUAACACUAACUGGAGGACCGAACCGACUAAUGUUGAAAAAUUAGCGGAUGACCUGUGGCUGGGGGUGAAAGGCCAAUCAAACCGGGAGAUAGCUGGUUCUCCCCGAAAGCUAUUUAGGUAGCGCCUCGUGAAUUCAUCUCCGGGGGUAGAGCACUGUUUCGGCUAGGGGGCCAUCCCGGCUUACCAACCCGAUGCAAACUGCGAAUACCGGAGAAUGUUAUCACGGGAGACACACGGCGGGUGCUAACGUCCGUCGUGAAGAGGGAAACAACCCAGACCGCCAGCUAAGGUCCCAAAGUCAUGGUUAAGUGGGAAACGAUGUGGGAAGGCCCAGACAGCCAGGAUGUUGGCUUAGAAGCAGCCAUCAUUUAAAGAAAGCGUAAUAGCUCACUGGUCGAGUCGGCCUGCGCGGAAGAUGUAACGGGGCUAAACCAUGCACCGAAGCUGCGGCAGCGAACGUAUCACCCAAGACAACUUUACGGAGUUGACGAUUGACGGAGCGAAGCGACGUCAAAGCGUUCAUUAAAGUCGAGUUGGCUUAGGGAUACGUUCGUUGGGUAGGGGAGCGUUCUGUAAGCCUGUGAAGGUGUGUCGUGAGGCAUGCUGGAGGUAUCAGAAGUGCGAAUGCUGACAUAAGUAACGAUAAAGCGGGUGAAAAGCCCGCUCGCCGGAAGACCAAGGGUUCCUGUCCAACGUUAAUCGGGGCAGGGUGAGUCGACCCCUAAGGCGAGGCCGAAAGGCGUAGUCGAUGGGAAACGGGUUAAUAUUCCCGUACUUGGUGUUACUGCGAAGGGGGGACGGAGAAGGCUAUGUUGGCCGGGCGACGGUUGUCCCGGUUUAAGCGUGUAGGUGUGUGUUCCAGGUAAAUCCGGUUCACUUUAACACUGAGGCGUGACGACGAGGCACUACGGUGCUGAAGCAAC